UCCAUGAAGGGCUCACCUUGGCAGCUCGG
RNAcentral lists this non-coding RNA (29 nucleotides) under Mus musculus (house mouse). The record is from RNAcentral. Lineage: Eukaryota; Metazoa; Chordata; Mammalia; Rodentia; Muridae.